AUUCAUCAACCCUGGUGUUUGGUUUUGUGACCUCUCGCUUGGGAUUGGAAUUGGGUGUUGCCGGUGGCACACUGGCUCACCUUGAAUUUAUUAGCUGGAAUUGUUGGGGUCUCUGGUUUGACUCGGUGUGAUAAGUAUCUUCACUGAGGACACCUUUCGGGGGUGGCCAAGGCCUUUGACAACCGGUUUCCAAUUAAAUUUCCAU
Molecule: unclassified non-coding RNA, 205 nt
Filed under: uncultured Basidiomycota
Lineage: Eukaryota; Fungi; Basidiomycota
Description: sequence contains ITS2
Source: RNAcentral